GGAGAAGAAGCCCCGGCUAACUUCGUGCCAGCAGCCGCGGUAAUACGAAGGGGGCUAGCGUUGUUCGGAAUUACUGGGCGUAAAGCGCACGUAGGCGGAUAUUUAAGUCAGGGGUGAAAUCCCAGAGCUCAACUCUGGAACUGCCUUUGAUACUGGGUAUCUUGAGUAUGGAAGAGGUAAGUGGAAUUCCGAGUGUAGAGGUGAAAUUCGUAGAUAUUCGGAGGAACACCAGUGGCGAAGGCGGCUUACUGGUCCAUUACUGACGCUGAGGUGCGAAAGCGUGGGGAGCAAACAGGAUUAGAU
Molecule: ribosomal RNA, 303 nt
Filed under: Rhizobiaceae bacterium
Lineage: Bacteria; Pseudomonadati; Pseudomonadota; Alphaproteobacteria; Hyphomicrobiales; Rhizobiaceae
Description: bacterial SSU rRNA
Rfam family: Bacterial small subunit ribosomal RNA
Source: RNAcentral